UUUUUUCCGCGCUUCGCGCGGAUUGUAUCUUAUAAAUUUAUUUUAUUUGUAAUAUUAUUUGUCGGUUUUUUCUUUUACAUUAACUUCUUGUUUUUUCAAUGUUAUUUUUUCUUAAUUUAAAUUUAUAUGUUUAUAAUUUUUCAUUUUUCUUGUUAAAAAUAGAGAAUUAUAUUUUUUAUUGAUGGUUUUUUGUAUGUGACAUAAACUUUUUGAAAUUUUAAAAUAAUGUUAUAUAUAGUACGAUUAACACAUUAAAGAAGAGAAACAUAUUCAGGCACAUUUUACACAUGUUUUAUAUGCAUAAUUUUAAACAUUAUAUAUGUAUAUAUUAUAAGUUUGAAACAUGUAAAUGCUUUCUAAAGCUAAAUACUUGUUCUGAGUUUACAUAACUUAUCGAAAGUUUUAUCUCUUUUUAAAUUCAAAUCACAGAAAAAAAUAUCGAAAAGUCAGUAUAGAUGAGUUUUUUGGGCUUUUAAAUCAAC
This 482-nucleotide long non-coding RNA is filed under the name Brassica rapa (field mustard). RNAcentral describes it as "long non-coding RNA (BRAP_LNC005105)". Lineage: Eukaryota; Viridiplantae; Streptophyta; Magnoliopsida; Brassicales; Brassicaceae. The record is from RNAcentral.